Acipenser ruthenus (sterlet) is the source of this 861-nucleotide long non-coding RNA. RefSeq lists it as uncharacterized. The record is from RefSeq and is a predicted model, not a curated record. NCBI's taxonomy places the organism in Eukaryota, Metazoa, Chordata, Actinopteri, Acipenseriformes, Acipenseridae. The transcript is spliced from 3 exons.
UGUGACAAUGCUGUUUUUUUCUGCUUUAAUAACUGUUGCUUAAUUGUGAAAUAUCUUGAAAUAACUAUUUGUAGACCGUGAAAUAAACAUGGCCCUACUUAUUGGACACCUCUAAGUAAAAUUACCAUUGUGCUGGCUUCUAGUUUGGAGGGAACCCAGUCUUGUGCGAUUGGACUGGCAGUUUUAGAUGUCAUUGAGAAAGAGGAUCUUGGUGACAAUGCGACGAAGGUGGGCAUCUACCUCCUGGGACUGCUGAAUGAGCUGCAGUACAAGCACCCCAUUAUUGGAGAUGUCAGAUAUGAAGGGGAAUUUAAAAGCCACUGACGCAGUGUCUGGCUGAGAGAAGGUGCUUGCAGACGGUCCACAAACAAGAACUGUGAAUUAAACAAUUAUGGUGCAGUUCUACAGUUCACAUUGCAGAAAGUGGUGAAAAUAAUGGAACGAAAGGAAGGUUCUGGUGAAAAAUGAAGAUACAUACUGUGUAUAUUUCUCUUCUGUUUCACUUGUGCAGCGAGCGAAGGUGUGGGUGGGUGGGUGGUUGCAGACAUUGUUGACAAAGCCUGUAGACCCCCACUCUACUGGAAUAAUCCAUAAAUGAGUGUAGCUCCCCUUCAAACCGUGAGCACUGUCUCUGCCUUUAUUAAAAAUACUUUCCUGUUUAAACUAUACUGACGCUACGCUUGCGUCUUACUAGACAACAAUAAGUAAGUCUGCAUUUUUUUAUUGGUCCGCAUUGCAUAUCUGCUUACCAGUUAUGUGAACCCCUGAUUAUGUAUCAAGAGAGUACAAGGUGUUGGAAAGCCAUAUUCUCUGCAGAAACAUGUAGACAUAAUAAAUAUGCGUCGCAGUAACUACUGCCUG